ACUCAUGGCCUAUGUGGACUAGGAGACAUUGCAGCACGGGCCCAUUGAGGCUGACCACGAGUCAAUCAUUGUGCUUGCGAUUAGAUUUGAAUGAAUUUGGAUUCUUGGCUUGGCAAAAAAUGGAGAGAGCAUAUGAUGAGAUGCAUAUAUUUGUCUCAUAUCAGCUAUGCACAAAAUAGAUCUUGGAUACUUAUACAAGACUAAAAAAUCCAAAUAAUGACUUCCAGCUAACCUUUUUGAAUGAGGUCCUAAGUUGUUGUAUUUGAACUCCGAGGGAUGCACGGAAACUAAAGAUCUAAGUUACUAGUUUUAAACCACCAUAGAACAAUAAUAGAAAAAAAAAAGGCCUACCUACCUCAUGGUAAAUAAUAUGUUCCAAAUUUCAACUGACGGAAGAGUUUCAUUUCUCUCAAUUGUCGGUGUCAAGCUGUCACGCCCCAAAUCUUGAGCAUGAGACGGCCGUGUUACCAAGGGGUACAACUCAUGAUAACAGCCAAACUUUUCAUUUAAUAUCCAAAUUCAUCUCAAACAAAAUAUAUAAAUAAAAGUCCAAUUUUAUUAUCCAUUAAAUGUAAUUAAUUAUGGUUCACAACGUCUAAAUUUAAGCAUAAACACCAAACCUAUAAUCCUCAAUGUUCAAAAAAUAAUUAACUACAAAUUUCAUAGUCAACUAAAAUACUAAAAUUCUUCUACAAAAUCACCAAACUUGCUAGCACGAACUCCAAGCCUGAGCCAUCCUUCGUUCCUAUCAAUCCUAUUUAUCUCGAGAGAGAAAAAUAAAAAUAGAGAUAUAUGAGCCACACAGUUCAGUAAGUAAAGCUUAGUCUACCUGACCGGAUCAA
RNAcentral lists this long non-coding RNA (842 nucleotides) under Phoenix dactylifera (date palm). RNAcentral's name for it is "long non-coding RNA (PDAC_LNC002218)". The record is from RNAcentral. Lineage: Eukaryota; Viridiplantae; Streptophyta; Magnoliopsida; Arecales; Arecaceae.